RNAcentral lists this small nuclear RNA (107 nucleotides) under Cervus elaphus hippelaphus. Lineage: Eukaryota; Metazoa; Chordata; Mammalia; Artiodactyla; Cervidae. The record is from RNAcentral.
GUGCUCGCUUCAGCAGCACAUAUACUAAAAUUGGAAAGAUACAGAGAAGAUUAGCAUGGCCCCUGCACAAGGAUGACACGCAAAUUCGUGAAGCAUUCCAUAUUUUU